GACGACCUCUGGCGGCGUGCCUAACACAUGCAAGUCGAACGGAGAAUUUUAUUUCGGUAGAAUUCUUAGUGGCGAACGGGUGAGUAACGCGUAGGCAACCUGCCCUUUAGACGGGGACAACAUUCCGAAAGGAGUGCUAAUACCGGAUGUGAUCAUCGUGCCGCAUGGCAGGAUGAAGAAAGAUGGCCUCUACAAGUAAGCUAUCGCUAAAGGAUGGGCCUGCGUCUGAUUAGCUAGUUGGUAGUGUAACGGACUACCAAGGCGAUGAUCAGUAGCCGGUCUGAGAGGAUGAACGGCCACAUUGGGACUGAGACACGGCCCAAACUCCUACGGGAGGCAGCAGUGGGGAAUCUUCCGCAAUGGACGAAAGUCUGACGGAGCAACGCCGCGUGAGUGAUGAAGGAUUUCGGUCUGUAAAGCUCUGUUGUUUAUGACGAACGUGCAGUGUGUGAACAAUGCAUUGCAAUGACGGUAGUAAACGAGGAAGCCACGGCUAACUACGUGCCAGCAGCCGCGGUAAUACGUAGGUGGCGAGCGUUGUCCGGAAUUAUUGGGCGUAAAGAGCAUGUAGGCGGCUUAAUAAGUCGAGCGUGAAAAUGCGUGGCUCAACCCCGUAUGGCGCUGGAAACUGUUAGGCUUGAGUGCAGGAGAGGAAAGGGGAAUUCCCAGUGUAGCGGUGAAAUGCGUAGAUAUUGGGAGGAACACCAGUGGCGAAGGCGCCUUUCUGGACUGUGUCUGACGCUGAGAUGCGAAAGCCAGGGUAGCGAACGAGAUUAGAUACCCCGGUAGUCCUGGCCGUA
Molecule: ribosomal RNA, 800 nt
Filed under: uncultured bacterium
Lineage: Bacteria
Description: bacterial SSU rRNA
Rfam family: Bacterial small subunit ribosomal RNA
Source: RNAcentral